AAAUUAUCUUUUUUUACUCACUUCACACUUAUAAGAACACAUCACAAUUAUUCUUCCAGAUGUAGAAGAAGAAUUUCUGGGAUUUAGUGGAAUUUAGAAGAACAUGUGCCCCAAAGGAAAUAUUAGAAAUUGAGCCUGAAAUGAUCCAUAAGCACUUCCAAUGCAUGUUGGUGGUGAACCUUUUUCAGGACCUUGGUUUUAUUGAUUUGAAUCUAUUGGGAAGAUUUAGUAAGGAUAGAGGAAUGAGUAGAAAUAAGACAAAAUGAAGGAAGAAGACACAUUAGGUGAGAGAUAAGUUGACUUCAGGAAAACAUUUAACUUCCAAGUGCCUUGGUAAAUGAGGGAAUGGACAAGGUAACACCUCAGGUCCCUUACAGUUUUUGUUUGAAAAUACAUCUACACUUAAAUAUAAUUCAAGGAAACUACAAGAAUUGGGAAGAACCUAUCACAGAAUGAACCAGAUAGAAUAAAUGAUUUGCCUUAAGUCA
Molecule: long non-coding RNA, 488 nt
Filed under: Monodelphis domestica (gray short-tailed opossum)
Lineage: Eukaryota; Metazoa; Chordata; Mammalia; Didelphimorphia; Didelphidae
Description: lncRNA (ENSMODG00000044782.1)
Source: RNAcentral